UGGGAAGCCGGCUUCGAGAUGAGAUUUCGUUAUUAGGUGCCCUAGAGAUGAUGGGGUUGAUAGGCCAGAUGUGGGAGCCCUGUGAGGGGUGGAGCUGACUGGUACUAAUACGCCGAUCACUCACCCAA
Molecule: ribosomal RNA, 128 nt
Filed under: Brevibacterium rongguiense
Lineage: Bacteria; Bacillati; Actinomycetota; Actinomycetes; Micrococcales; Brevibacteriaceae
Description: Bacterial large subunit ribosomal RNA
Rfam family: Bacterial large subunit ribosomal RNA
Source: Rfam by way of RNAcentral